This is a long non-coding RNA of Musa acuminata AAA Group (dessert banana), 680 nucleotides long. RefSeq lists it as uncharacterized. The transcript has 3 exons. The record is from RefSeq and is a predicted model, not a curated record. Lineage: Eukaryota; Viridiplantae; Streptophyta; Magnoliopsida; Zingiberales; Musaceae.
UAUCGGCCCCUUCGUGCAACCUCUUCGACUUGGGCUCCCCCUCUUUAACUUAAUCGACCAAGGACGAUCCUCGGCGAACCCGCCGGUUUCCUGGUGAUGGAAUUGGAUCAGUGGAUCGCGAAGGUGAAGAAAGGGCAGCAUCUGGAGGAACACGAGCUACAACUCCUCUGCUAAUACGCACGCUAGGGCACCGUCCUUUUCUUGCCUAAGCAUUUUCUUGCUUCUUUUUCUCUGUUUUGUUUCCUAGAUCUUGGUUUGAUGCGAGGCUACGAGGAGGAAGAAAUGAUGCAGGUUCUCGUGCCGAAGAAAGCAGAGCGUUUUGCUUGAGCUGAAGGAAAAGGAAGGGGAUUUUGACUUCAUGACAGAUUGGGUAUACAGAUUGAACAGGAAUAAAAGCUUAAAAUUAAGUUGCUAUGUACAUGUAGCUGGAAACCUGAGUAUCAACUAUUUUUCUGACACUUAUGAGAUAAGAUCAUUCCAGAAUGGGAGAUCAAAUGGCAACUUUACAACUCCAGAUGCAACCAAGAGGAGCAAAAGCCACACUGGUAAGAUGUUUAGACAUACUAGCAACAGGAUUCUUUGCCCUGCAAAAGUUUCAUGACAUAGUUGAGAAUUCAGUUGUAUGGAUGAAAUUGUAACAUAUAUAAACAUAAUGAAGAUUGGCAGAGAAUUAAAUUCAA